AAGAAAUCCUGGUCAUGAGGGAAAUGAAGAACCCCAACAUUGUCACCUACCUCGAAAGCUACCUUGCCAAUGAGGCUGUGUGGCUGGUGUUGGAGUACAUGGAUGGAGGCUCCUUAGCUGGUGUGCUCCGGAUGAAAACAAUGGCUGUAGGACACAUAGCAACUGUCUGUCGGGAGUGCCUGAGAGGCCUGGAUUUCCUUCAUGCCAACAACAUCAUCCACAGAGAC
Poecile atricapillus (Black-capped chickadee) is the source of this 227-nucleotide long non-coding RNA. RefSeq lists it as uncharacterized. The transcript has 3 exons. NCBI's taxonomy places the organism in Eukaryota, Metazoa, Chordata, Aves, Passeriformes, Paridae. The record is from RefSeq and is a predicted model, not a curated record.